This 502-nucleotide ribosomal RNA is filed under the name uncultured bacterium. RNAcentral's name for it is "partial 16S ribosomal RNA". It matches the Rfam family "Bacterial small subunit ribosomal RNA", at positions 28 to 507 of the family's 1533-position model. The record is from RNAcentral.
GACGAACGCUGGCGGCGUGCCUAAUACAUGCAAGUCGAACGAACCGCGACUAGGUGCUUGCACUUGGUCAAGGUGAGUGGCGAACGGGUGAGUAACACGUGGGUAACCUACCUCAUAGUGGGGGAUAACAGUCGGAAACGACUGCUAAUACCGCUUAUGACAUAGGAACACAUGAUCCAGUGAGGAAAGGCGGCGCAACCUAUCGCUAUGAGAUGGACCCGCGGUGCAUUAGCUAGUUGGUAGGGUAAAGGCCUACCAAGGCGAUGAUGCAUAGCCGACCUGAGAGGGUGAUCGGCCACAUUGGGACUGAGACACGGCCCAGACUCCUACGGGAGGCAGCAGUAGGGAAUCUUCCGCAAUGGACGAAAGUCUGACGGAGCAACGCCGCGUGAGUGAAGAAGGUCUUCGGAUCGUAAAGCUCUGUUGUUAGAGAAGAACAGCGCAUAGAGUAUCUGUUAUGCGUGUGACGGUAUCUAAUCAGAAAGCCACGGCUAACUACGUG